Molecule: ribosomal RNA, 497 nt
Filed under: uncultured bacterium
Lineage: Bacteria
Description: partial 16S ribosomal RNA
Rfam family: Bacterial small subunit ribosomal RNA
Source: RNAcentral
GAUGAACGCUGGCGGCGUGCCUAAUACAUGCAAGUCGAGCGAACAGAUAAGGAGCUUGCUCCUUUGACGUUAGCGGCGGACGGGUGAGUAACACGUGGGUAACCUACCUAUAAGACUGGGAUAACUUCGGGAAACCGGAGCUAAUACCGGAUAAUAUUUCGAACCGCAUGGUUCGAUAGUGAAAGAUGGUUUUGCUAUCACCUAUAGAUGGACCCGCGCCGUAUUAGCUAGUUGGUAAUGUAACGGCUUACCAAGGCGACGAUACGUAGCCGACCUGAGAGGGUGAUCGGCCACACUGGAACUGAGACACGGUCCAGACUCCUACGGGAGGCAGCAGUAGGGAAUCUUCCGCAAUGGGCGAAAGCCUGACGGAGCAACGCCGCGUGAGUGAUGAAGGUCUUCGGAUCGUAAAACUCUGUUAUUAGGGAAGAACAUACGUGUAAGUAACUGUGCACGUCUUGACGGUACCUAAUCAGAAAGCCACGGCUAACUACGUG